UAGGGAAUCUUCGGCAAUGGACGAAAGUCUGACCGAGCAACGCCGCGUGAGUGAAGAAGGUUUUCGGAUCGUAAAACUCUGUUGUUAGAGAAGAACAAGGACGUUAGUAACUGAACGUCCCCUGACGGUAUCUAACCAGAAAGCCACGGCUAACUACGUGCCAGCAGCCGCGGUAAUACGUAGGUGGCAAGCGUUGUCCGGCUUUAUUGGGCGUAAAGCGAGCGCAGGCGGUUUCUUAGGUCUGAUGUGAAAGCCCCCGGCUCAACCGGGGAGGGUCAGUGGAAACUGGGAGACUUGAGUGGAGAAGAGGGGAGUGGAAUUCCAUGUGUAGCGGUGAAAUGCGUAGAUAUAUGGAGGAACACCAGUGGCGAAGGCGGCGCUCUGGUCUGUAACUGACGCUGAGGCUCGAAAGCGUGGGGAGCAAACAGG
Molecule: ribosomal RNA, 429 nt
Filed under: Gemmatimonadota bacterium
Lineage: Bacteria; Pseudomonadati; Gemmatimonadota
Description: Gemmatimonadetes bacterium partial 16S ribosomal RNA
Rfam family: Bacterial small subunit ribosomal RNA
Source: RNAcentral